Molecule: long non-coding RNA, 1657 nt
Organism: Spodoptera frugiperda (fall armyworm)
Lineage: Eukaryota; Metazoa; Arthropoda; Insecta; Lepidoptera; Noctuidae
Exons: 2
Source: RefSeq, a predicted model, not a curated record
ACCAAUCUAUGGUGACACGAGUACAGGUAAAUAUUAUUAUAAACCCGUUGUAUGUUGGAACGCAGAUCUACGCGAGACACAGUGUGUUUUCUAUUGUGUCUCAUAUACCAACACACAAGGGGUUAAUUUUGAUGCUCCCUUUUUUAUUGAAUAUUGGAGCAUACAUGGUAAGCAGUCGCCACCAGCCAUGGACACUUGAAACACCAGAGGCGUUACAAAUGCGUUGCCGGCCUUUUGGAGGUUAGGAAUUUAAGGAUUGUCGGGGAAUCGGGGAUUGGGAAGGGGGGAAUUGGGCCUCCGGUAACCUCACUAACACAACGAAACAACGCAAGCGUUAUUUCACGUCAGUUUUCGUCCCUAAAGCUAAGACACUCUUAGCUAAGAGAUAGUUUAGCGGUGGUUGAUGAAAACAGCUAUAAGAGUCAGUUUAGAUUUGCUUAUAAUUUUGACACAUUUUAUAUGGAACUUAUAUCAAAAAAUUUAACUGCUAUAUAAUAAAUUGAGUUGAUUGAAUACAAUAAAAAAAAAUCUAAUUCGAGUAAAUUAUGCCAAUAAAUAAUUAUUUUUAUAAUUUUUAGAGAUCGAACAAGUCUUGGAUCACGGCUGUUUCAUAAUUAUGUACGUAAUAUAUAAAAAAAUUUCAAAAUUAAUUAAAUAUACGUUGUAAGGUAAGCGUCCACAGGCCCGCAUCGUACGCAUCGCACGCAUUCCGUAUGACGUCAUCAGUACGCAUUGCCGAUGAUGCGGUCCGUACGAUGCGGAUCAGUGGACGCAGUUGUAUGAGUUUCUAUACAAGACAAACUAAAAUCCGUUGCGUGCGAUGCAAGCCUGUGGACGCUUACCUUUUAAUAUCCGUCUUGUAGAUUAUUUUAAAACAUUAGACACGUAUAUUUUGUUUUCUUACGGAAACAAAUACUUUCGAAGAUAUAUCGAUUUGAAAUAUUGCGUGACAUCACUUCUAGGUGCGUUUUGUCCAAAAUAAUUAUGUCUUGCGUACAUAUGCGUACCACGAGUCAAAUCACAUGAGUGAUUUCCAUACUGUAUACAAGUAUGAAAUUAGCAUUAGUUACUAUAUAUUAUAUAAAAUAUCGCAUUAGUCCGUACAAUAACAGGUUACUUUACUAUUUCGUAAAAAAUCUUAUUCUAACUUAAUACUACAACGAUAUUUUUUGUUAUCGACACAAAUUAUGAAAUAUGACAGAAAUAUUUCGAUACAAAGAAUUUAAAUUAAUGUAUAGAGUGACUGGUAAUUAGUGAACGAUAUUUAAACACGAUUGCAAACAACUUUCCCAAAGAAACUUUUUUAUCGCAAUAACAAAACAACAAAUUUCGCGUGCGCGAGCAUUUGCAUGAUCAGCUGUUAGCAGCGAUGCGGUUUUGUUAUUGUGAUAAAAAUAAAACUAAUGAGUAUACAAAAAAGUUUCUUUGGGAAUGUUGUUUGUAAUCAUGAGUACAAUCACGUGUUUAAAUAUCGUUCACUAAUUACCAGUCACCCUAUACAUUCGUUUGAGAAACUAGCUUCUGCCAGUGGCUUCGGCCGCGUUCGCGUGGGAUAAGAAGUUAUCUAUAUUAUUUCAGACCAUAAUCUACCCCUGUUUCAAAGCCAUAUCGAUUCCUUCAGAGGUUUUGACGUGAAUGAGUAACAAAACAUACAAAC